Molecule: RNA transcript, 1259 nt
Organism: Spodoptera frugiperda (fall armyworm)
Lineage: Eukaryota; Metazoa; Arthropoda; Insecta; Lepidoptera; Noctuidae
Gene name: zinc finger protein 652-A-like
Exons: 4
Source: RefSeq, a predicted model, not a curated record
CAAAUCGAUUUAUGUUUUGACAUUUUGUCGACAUUACAAGUGUUAUCACUUCGAGUUAUGUUUCUUUAAUAUAAUCGUAUAAAACGAAUAAUAUUCAUGAUGGAAAUGGAGACGGACCCUCUGGAGGGAAGCAGCUACGAGGUGGGAGUGACUGUGAAGACAGAAAUUAAGGAGGAGAGCGAAGAUGAUCAUUACAAUACGAUGGCCCUCCUAGAACUAGCCCAAUGCGUCCAAACCAACCAAGAACCAAUCGAAUUCAACUCCACAGACGCAAUGAUGGACCCAAAAACCGGAUUGAUGAUCUGCCUCCACUGCCUCGAAGACUUCGACUCCAGUCUACUAUCAGACCAUAUGAUGACCGCACACAACUACCGCAGAGUGCUAUUCAAGUGUCAACUCUGCCAAAGUACGUUUCAAGAACGGAAACUCUUGAACAUACAUCGUCAGGAAUGUCAACCGGAGCAGAAAGUGAGGAAAAGGAAAACGUUUCAGCAGAUUCUUCGGGAUGUUGAGGCAAAAUACUAUGUUGGUGAUCAACAGGCUUUGUUAGAACCAGUAUCCUGCCCCAUUUGUCUCUUGGAGUUACCGAAGUACUGCCUAAAGGAACAUUUGUUGAAUGAGCAUCGGAAACCAGAUGUGAUACUGACAUGUGGACGGUGUAAUAGGAAUUUUAAAUCGAAGUUGACUUUGAGGGAACAUGUGAAGUUGGUCCAUGAGGCUGUUGAAGACUCUGAGGAGUGUGAGCUGUGCGGACAGAAGUUCAGGUCGCUCAAGUAUCUGUCCAAUCAUAAGAGGAAUGUGCAUCCUAGCGGCAACAAGAUCCACAAAUGCAUGGUUUGCGGCAAGGAGUUCAAGUCUCGCCUGUGCCUGCACCAGCACAGUAAAUACGUGCAUCCUCCAGAGUCUGCCUCCGUGGAAUGCCCUCACUGUCCCAACAAAAUAUUCAAGUCCAGAAUGAAUUUGACACAACACCUCAAAGUGUCACAUGGGUAUAAGAGAAAACUGAGCAGUAUACCUACCAUGUAAACUACCGGAGCUGCGGACGGUCGCUUCGCUUCAAGCUUCCUUGUGCGAACUGCUAGGGAGUGGAACUCCUUGCCGGAGUCUGUGUUUCCUGAUGGGUAUAACCUGGGUGUCUUCAAGGCCCGAGUGAAUAGGUUGCUUAUGGGCAGACGUGUUCCACCGUAGGCCGCAUCAUCACUUACCAUCAGGUGAGAUAGCGGCCAAACGUCGACCCAUUAAAUGUAAAAAAAAAACUC